Myxocyprinus asiaticus (Chinese sucker) is the source of this 3874-nucleotide RNA transcript. It is a transcript of the gene named 5'-AMP-activated protein kinase subunit gamma-1-like, with no coding region annotated. The record is from RefSeq and is a predicted model, not a curated record. The transcript is spliced from 16 exons. NCBI's taxonomy places the organism in Eukaryota, Metazoa, Chordata, Actinopteri, Cypriniformes, Catostomidae.
CUGGCUACUUAAUAUUCAGACAGAUGUUGAAUGUGCCUCGUUCUGUGUGCAGGCUUCAAAUUUCCUGCUAAACAAGAUUAAACAAGUCUGAGAUAAAUCCAACUUGAUGACAGUUUAUGACACGACUUCACAAUGCGACUUAACCAGUCCCUGGACAGAUAGCCUGAUGAAGACGGUGUCCUGUGCAGGAACUGAACCACCGACACAGACUUCAUCGACUUGAAUGCGGAUGUUCUCCACGGCGCAGUGACACUGAUUAAGGAACUGGAACCUCUGGAUGUGCUCAUUUUAAAGCAAACGCGCUUCUGCAAAAUUCUGCGACUCGUCAACAUUUGGUCGGGAAAGAGGGGGGGGAGGGGGUCCUUUCAAAAGUCGCGAGCUAUACUUUUUAGAAGAUUUUUAUUUUUUCCAGCAGAAAAAUGGGAAGCACAGUGAUGGACUCCAAGAAAAAGCACUGUACAAAGAAGUCAUCAAAGAAAAAGCGAUCUCUGCGACUAAACAUGCCAAAUUUGAGUACAUUUGCAUCCCCUCUUGUGGAUGGAGAGGCAGACAGAUCAGAUGAGGAUGAGAUGCGAAAGGGUGAGAGAAGUGGUUCAGCCACCCCUCCAUGUUUCAGGUCUCCUGUCAACCUGCCCUGUACCCCAGUUUCAGCCCCUGAUUGUGCCAGGAGCAGUCCAGGCUCUCCCAAAACCAUCUUCUCCCGUCCAUUGUCAUCUCACCAGAACUCACCUCCCAAAUCUCCCCAUCGUCUCAGUUUCAGUGGUAUUUUCCGCUCCUCAUCCAACUCAGCUCCUGCCAGCAUCAAGUUCUUCUCCAGAUCCAGAAAAGGUUCUGGACUUUCCACUACCCCAACCACCCCGACGCAGAGUCCAGUUCCACCAGUCUUCCCUUUGGAGACUCCCGAUCCACCGGAAAGUGUGGAGGAACGGCGCACCCGCUCUUUCUCAUCUCCCCCUGAUACAGGUCAGCGCUUCAGCCUGACCCCCUCCUCCUCCUCCAAACCCCCUAUCGCCUCGUACACCUUUAACUCUACCUCACACCAGAGUUGUGGAAUUUAUGAGGGCUUACUGGAAAAACUUGAACUUGAUGAUGAAGCUGCUGAAGAGCCAGACAGUGACAUUUACAUGCGCUUUAUGAAAUCCCAAAAGUGCUAUGACCUCAUCCCCACCAGCUCCAAACUAGUGGUCUUUGACACUACACUACAGGUAAAGAAAGCUUUCUUUGCCCUGGUUGCUAAUGGAGUUCGAGCUGCCCCAUUGUGGGAAACCAAAAAGCAAACCUUUGUGGGAAUGUUAACCAUCACAGAUUUCAUCAUCAUACUGCACAGAUACUAUAAGUCACCGCUGGUGCAAAUAUAUGAGCUGGAGGAGCAUAAAAUUCAGACUUGGAGAGAACUUUACUUGCAAGAAACUUUUAAACCUUUAGUCAGCAUAUCUCCAGAUGCGAGUAUAUUCAAUGCUGUUUACUCACUCAUCAAAAAUAAGAUCCAUCGUUUGCCAGUGAUCGAUCCAGUCACUGGAAAUGCCCUGUAUAUCCUCACACACAAGAGAAUCCUCAAGUUUCUGCAGCUCUUUGUGUGUGAGAUGCCUAAACCAGCCUUCAUGAGACAGAAUCUAGAGGAACUGGGCAUUGGCACAUACAGCAACAUAGCUUUCAUUCACCCAGACACACCCAUUAUUAAAGCACUGGGCAUCUUUGUGGAGAGGAGAAUAUCUGCCCUGCCUGUGGUGGAUGUUGCAGGAAAGGUUGUGGACAUUUACUCCAAGUUUGAUGUCAUUAACCUAGCUGCUGAGAAGACCUACAAUAACCUGGACAUCACCGUGACUCAGGCUCUGCUGCAUCGCUCACAGUACUUUGAGGGGGUUAUGAAGUGUUACCGGCACGAGACUCUGGAGACCAUAGUGGACAGAAUUGUCAAAGCCGAGGUGCACAGGCUGGUGGUGGUGGAUGAUAACUCCAGUAUUGAGGGAAUAAUCUCUUUGUCUGACAUCCUGCAGGCGUUGGUACUCACCCCCGCAGGUAUAGACGCACAGAAUUCCUAAUCCCACCUUCCAUUUCACCUUUCCUUCUCUCUACUCCACUCUUCCCCAGACCCACCUUUCCUUCCCUGGACAUCUUCCACAUAAGUGUCCCUCUCUGACCCCCUAAGCACAGGAGGACACAGGAGGUACAGUGUGACUGAAUGACAAGACAAAAGACAUUUUGAAGGUGUAAGAGACAUAAAAGAAACUUUCCAAUUGGAGUACCGACUGCUCCAGACAGAGUUCCUGAUCCUGACCGUGCAUAGAAAAGGACAGCUGGAAGCACCAAGAUGCAUUUUAGAUCUUCUUUUAAGUGUUGAAACUGGGUAGUGCCCUGAACAAUAUCUGCUGCUGUAAUGGAUAUAUGAUCCUAAAGCACAAAUGUUUAUGGUGGGCCAGCCCUCAAAAUCUGCCGCUACACUGUACACACUGCUCUGAAUGCUGGGCAUGUUUGCCUGGUCGUGCUGCUGGUUUUGAAAUCCCUCAUUGUCAGUGCUAAAUCAGGCCUGGGGAGGAAAUCUUCUUUUGAAUUCCAGCAGGGUCUGCGUUAUAUCAUCGGGCACUGUAAUCCACUCUUGGCUGGGUGUCAGAAGUGGAAACUUGCCUUAAAUGAAGACCUCGCCAAGAGUUGAUUGUAUCGGUUAGCUCAGACUAUAGACAUGCAUGUAGUGUAAAAGCAGGCUGUUGAUUUUUGUGCAGUAGGCAACAGUUGUCAAUAACUUUCAACCUGCUAGUAGAUUUUGCAAGUACAUCCUGUAGAAAUGUUGUUAAAUGAAUGUUUGGGGGCUUUAUUUUUUGUUUGUUUUGUUUUGUUGUUAGAAAAAUGCUUACUGAAUGGGUGCAUCUCAAAAAAAUGUCCAGGUAACCCCAAAACCACAAAAAUUAAAUAUAAUAAAUUAUAUUUGCAUAAUGCAAAAAAAGCCUAUUUUUAAGACCAUUCAACUUUAUUUACAUGUUUUUAUUUUUAUUUUGUAUUACUUUUAUUGUAGUUAUUACCAUUAUUCUCAGUGGUGAUUCUCAUUACUGUAAUAGUUAUUUUUUACUACAGUACUACAAUUAUUUUCUAUUAUAUAACAACUAUAAUAAACUAUCAUGAUGUAAAAAUUCAAUUUAAGUAAUGUUUUCUUUUUUUUUUUUUUUUUUUUUUUUUUUUUCACAUUACAAAAAAUCUUAAGGCACAAAAUAGGCAUAAUUUUCUUAAAAUAUUUCAUAUUUAUUUUGGGGUGAAAUAAGUCCCGGACAUGUUCUAGACAGGUUUCAUGAGACUAAAACUGCUGAUUUUGCUGUUCAGCAUUGGUCUACUACUAUAUAAAUUGUGCCUUUGACCCCUUAUAAGUUGUCAAUAGAGAAAUGAAUGUACUACCUAACAGAAUUGUACACUGACUGUCGCGGGCUGUAUUUUUACUGGAACAAAUUUAAAGUGCUUUGAAAAGAAGCUAUAUAUACAGAGCUUUAUUUUUCUAUUGUAACUUUUGCUGAUUUGGAAAACCAUGUGCACUACCGAUCCUAUGCACUAAAUAGCGCAUGAAUGUUAAAGCUUGCAGGUACAGAUCCAAAAUAACUGUGCUUCUUUGCAUCCCAGUAAUAUGCUGAUCUACUGUAAAUGCAACUGCUCUAAGAACACAUGCCUUAUAAUGUUGUACUGGUAUGGAUUUAAAAAUUAUAAAUCACGUAUAUAUUUUUGUUGUUGUUGUUGUUGUUGUUGUUGUUGUUGUGAAAGAUGGGACUGUUAGGUCCAGAAAAGAAAUGUACAUUUGAAUGCACAGAAAGUGACACUAUUGUGUUUUUGUUUUUUAUGUGGUUGAGCAAAAAUAUAUAUUGAUAAUGCAUUAACAUUUGUCUGCAAUGUUUUU